RNAcentral lists this ribosomal RNA (972 nucleotides) under Phomopsis sp. QJC-1893. Its description in RNAcentral is "bacterial SSU rRNA". It matches the Rfam family "Eukaryotic small subunit ribosomal RNA", at positions 20 to 1008 of the family's 1831-position model. Lineage: Eukaryota; Fungi; Ascomycota; Sordariomycetes; Diaporthales; Diaporthaceae. The record is from RNAcentral.
GUACCCAUAUGUUUGUCUCAUAUAUUACUUCAUGCAAUUCUAACUUUAAACACCUAAACCUUUAAUUUGCUGAUGGGUGAUUAAAUCAGUUAGAAAUAAUUUGAUACUAUCUACUACAUGGAUAACCGAGGGAAUUCAAUAGCUAAUACUUGGAUAAAUUCCCAACUUCGGAAGGGAUGUAUUGAUUAAAUUAAAAACCAUUGGCCUUCGGGGCUCACUGGUGAUUCAUAAUAACUUCUCGAAAAUUUCGGCCUUGCGCCGGCGAUGGUUCAUUCAAAUUUCUGCCCUAUCAACUUUCGACGGCUGGGUCUUGGCCAGCCGUGGUUACAACGGGUAACCUAUUCUAUAGGGCUUGGCCCCGGAAAACGAGCCUGAGAAAGCUUUACUACCUCCAAGGAAGGCACCAGGCACGCCCAUUACCCAAUCCCGACUCGGGGAGGGGUGACAAUAUCCCCUGAUACAAGGGUCUUUUGGGACUUGUGAUUGCAAUGAGUACAAUUUAAAUCCCUUACCCAGGAACAAUUGAAGGGCUUUUCAGGUGCCACAACUUUAAUAUAAUUCUAGCUCCAAUGGAAUAUAUUAAACUGGUGGCACCUAACUUGCUCUCAAUUGAACCUUGGGUCUGGCUGGCCGGUCUGCCUCACCGCAUUACUGGUCCGGCCGAGCCUUGCACUCUGAUGAACCGCAUGUCCUUCACUGAGUGUGUCUUGGAACCAUUGCUUUUCCUGUGACAUCAUUGGAGGGAUCAAAGCAUGCACAUGCUCCUAUACCGGGGCAUGGAAUAAUACCAUCCGGACGUCGCGGUUCUAUCUUGUGGGUUUCUACCCACCCCCGUAAAGAUGAUAGGGACAGACUUGGGCGACACUACUCCAGCGCCAGAGGUGAAAUUUUGGAACUAUUGAUGACUCACUACUGCGACCCAUUUGCCUUGGAUGUUAUCUUAUCAGCACCCUUCUAAGGGAGGAAUACAAU